CCUACGGGUGGCUGCAGUGAGGAAUUUUGCGCAAUGGGGGAAACCCUGACGCAGCAACGCCGCGUGAGUGAAGAAGGCUUUCGGGUCGUAAAGCUCUGUCAAGCGGGAAGAACCCUUCCAAGGCCAAUACCCUUGGGAGCUGACGGUACCGCUGGAGGAAGCACCGGCUAACUCCGUGCCAGCAGCCGCGGUAAUACGGAGGGUGCAAGCGUUAUUCGGAAUCAUUGGGUGUAAAGCGCGUGUAGGCGGUUUGAUAAGUCAGAUGUGAAAGCUCCGGGCUUAACCCGGAAAGUGCAUUUGAAACUGUCAGGCUUGAGUCCCGGAGAGGAAGGUGGAAUUCCCAGUGUAGAGGUGAAAUUCGUAGAUAUUGGGAGGAACAUCGGUGGCGAAGGCGACCUUCUGGACGGAGACUGACGCUGAGACGCGAAAGCGUGGGGAGCAAACAGGAUUAGAUACCCGUGUAGUC
This 466-nucleotide ribosomal RNA is filed under the name uncultured microorganism. Its description in RNAcentral is "bacterial SSU rRNA". It matches the Rfam family "Bacterial small subunit ribosomal RNA", at positions 338 to 795 of the family's 1533-position model. The record is from RNAcentral.